GUUUCUUUACUGGAACUGGUUGACUCGUCUUCUAUGGCAAUUCUGUAUCUAACAAAGUUGUUAGUUGAUCAAAAUUAGCUGGUUCUGAAGUCACUUUGUCGGAUUUUACAGAUUUUGGUUCUUGUGAAACUGGAAUUCCAACACUCGGUUGAACUUCCUUUGAGUCUUGAGCAUCAGUUGGCUCCUUUUGAACUUCGAUGGUGUUGGGAUCUAAUGUCUUUCUGCUCCUCAAUGUCCAUGCUUUAUAAUGUUCAUUCCCUG
This 261-nucleotide long non-coding RNA is filed under the name Gossypium barbadense (sea-island cotton). RNAcentral describes it as "long non-coding RNA (GBAR_LNC003058)". The record is from RNAcentral. Lineage: Eukaryota; Viridiplantae; Streptophyta; Magnoliopsida; Malvales; Malvaceae.